UUGGAGGGCAAGUCUGGUGCCAGCAGCCGCGGUAAUUCCAGCUCCAAUAGCGUAUAUUAAAGUUGUUGCAGUUAAAAAGCUCGUAGUUGAAUUCCGGGAUCAGUUGGUCGGUCGUGCCUCGGUACGUACCGGUCAAAUUGAUUCCUACCUUCUGACGAACCACGAUGUCAUUAAUUUGGUGUCGCGGGAAAUCAGGACUGUUACUUUGAAAAAAUUAGAGUGUUUAAAGCAGGCUCGCGCUUGAAUACAUUAGCAUGGAAUAAUGAAAUAGGACGUUUGAUUCUAUUUUGUUGGUUUCUAGGAUCGACGUAAUGAUUAAUAGGGAUAGUUGGGGGCAUUAGUAUUCGAUUGUCAGAGGUGAAAUUCUUGGAUUUAUUGAAGACUAACUACUGCGAAAGCAUUUGCCAAGGAUGUUUUCAUUAAUCAAGAACGAAAGUUAGGGGAUCGAAGACGAUCAGAUACCGUCGUAGUCUUAGCCAUAAACUAUGCUGACUAGGGAUCGGAUGAUGUUAAUUUUUUAAUGACUCAUUCGGCGCCUUACGGGAAACCAAAGUGUUUGGGUUC
RNAcentral lists this ribosomal RNA (564 nucleotides) under uncultured Glomeromycotina. Its description in RNAcentral is "SSU rRNA". It matches the Rfam family "Eukaryotic small subunit ribosomal RNA", at positions 548 to 1114 of the family's 1831-position model. The record is from RNAcentral. Lineage: Eukaryota; Fungi; Glomeromycota.